Molecule: ribosomal RNA, 2896 nt
Filed under: Clostridioides difficile
Lineage: Bacteria; Bacillati; Bacillota; Clostridia; Peptostreptococcales; Peptostreptococcaceae
Description: bacterial LSU rRNA
Rfam family: Bacterial large subunit ribosomal RNA
Source: RNAcentral
UCAAGUUAUUAAGGGUGCAGGGCGGAUGCCUUGGCACUAGGAGCCGAUGAAGGACGUGAUAAGCUGCGAUAAGCUUCGGGGAGUUGCACGUAAACUUUGAUCCGAAGAUUUCCGAAUGAGGAAACUCACUUAGAGUAAUGUCUAAGUAUCAUUAAGUGAAUACAUAGCUUAAUGAGGGGAACUCAGGGAACUGAAACAUCUAAGUACCUGAAGGAAGAGAAAGAAAUUCGAUUCCGUAAGUAGCGGCGAGCGAACGCGGAUUAGCCCAAACCAAUAAAGUUUUCUUUGUUGGGGUUGCGGACAUAUCAUAACGAAGAGGUAUCGUAAUUGAAGAGGUUUGGAAAGACCCACCACAGAAGGUAAUAGUCCUGUAUGUUAAACGAGAAGACUUUAGAUAUGAUCCAGAGUACCACGGGACACGUGAAACCCUGUGGGAAGCAGGAGGGACCACCCUCCAAGGCUAAAUACUACCUAGUGACCGAUAGCGUAUAGUACCGUGAGGGAAAGGUGAAAAGAACCCCGGGAGGGGAGUGAAAUAGAACCUGAAACCCUGCACUUACAAGCUGUGGAAGCACAUUUCUUGUGUGACCGCGUACUUUUUGUAGAACGGGCCAACGAGUUACGUUAAGUAGCAAGGUUAAGCACUUAAGGUGUGGAGCCGUAGCGAAAGCGAGUUUUAACUGAGCGUUCAGUUACUUGACGUAGACCCGAAACCGGGCGACCUACCCAUGAGCAGGAUGAAGCGAAAGUAAAAUUUCGUGGAGGUCCGAACCCACGAGCGUUGAAAAGCUCGGGGAUGACUUGUGGGUAGCGGUGAAAUUCCAAUCGAGCCCGGAGAUAGCUGGUUCUCCCCGAAAUAGCUUUAGGGCUAGCCUCAAGGUGAGAGAUACGGAGGUAGAGCACUGAAUGUCCUAGGGGGUAUUGCACCUACCGAAGACUAUCAAACUCCGAAUGCCGUCAUCUUAUACUUGGGAGUCAGACUGUGGGUGAUAAGAUUCAUAGUCGAAAGGGCAACAGCCCAGAUCGUCAGCUAAGGUCCCUAAAUGUAAGUUAAGUGGUAAAGGAUGUGGGAUUGCACAGACAACCAGGAUGUUGGCUUAGAAGCAGCCACUCAUUCAAAGAGUGCGUAAUAGCUCACUGGUCGAGUGAUCCUGCGCCGAAGAUUUCCGGGGCUAAAACUUACUACCGAAGCUACGGCAUCAGUAAUGAUGGGUAGGGGAGCUUCCCAUACGGGUUGAAGCAUGACCGUAAGGACAUGUGGACAGUAUGGGAGUGAGAAUGUUGGCAUGAGUAGCGAGAUGUGGGUGAGAAUCCCACAGGCCGUAAACCCAAGGUUUCCAGGGGAAGGUUCGUCCGCCCUGGGUUAGUCGGGACCUAAGCUGAGGCCGAAAGGCGUAGGUGAUGGACAACAGGUUGAUAUUCCUGUACUACCGAUAACCGUUUGAGAGAAGGGAUGACACAGUAGGAUAAGCUAAGCACACUGUUGGUUAUGUGUGCCCAAGCAUUGAGGCAGUCAAAGUAGGUAAAUCCGCUUUGAUAAUGCUGGGAUGUGAUGGGGAGCGAAAUUUAGUAGCGAAGUAGCUGAUUUCACACUGUCAAGAAAAGUCUCUAUCGAGGUUAAAGGUACCCGUACCGCAAACCGACACAGGUGGGUGAGGAGAGUAUCCUAAGGCCAGCGAGAGAACUGUUGUUAAGGAACUCGGCAAAAUGACCCCGUAACUUAGGGAUAAGGGGUGCCACCAUCAGGUGGCCGCAGAGAAUAGGCCCAAGCGACUGUUUACCAAAAACAUAGGUUUCUGCUAAGUCGCAAGACGAUGUAUAGGAGCUGACGCCUGCCCGGUGCUGGAAGGUUAAGGGGAUCUGUUAGAGCAAUCGAAGCAGUGAACUUAAGCCCCAGUAAACGGCGGCCGUAACUAUAACGGUCCUAAGGUAGCGAAAUUCCUUGUCGGGUAAGUUCCGACCCGCACGAAAGGCGUAACGAUUUGGGCACUGUCUCAACAACAGACUCGGUGAAAUUGUAAUUCCGGUGAAGAUGCCGGAUACCUGCGACAGGACGGAAAGACCCCAUGGAGCUUUACUGUAGCUUGACAUUGGGUCUUGGUACUACAUGUACAGGAUAGGUGGGAGGCUUUGAAACCAGGACGCCAGUUUUGGCGGAGCCAUCCUUGGGAUACCACCCUUGUAGUACUGGGACUCUAACCAUAGGCCAUGAAUCUGGUCUUGGGACACUGUCAGGUGGGCAGUUUGACUGGGGCGGUCGCCUCCCAAAAGGUAACGGAGGCGCUCAAAGGUUCUCUCAGUACGGUCGGAAAUCGUACGUAGAGUGUAAAGGCAAAAGAGAGCUUGAUUGCAAGACAUACAGGUCGAGCAAGGAUGAAAAUCGGACUUAGUGAUCCGGUGGUUCUGCGUGGAAGGGCCAUCGCUCAACGGAUAAAAGCUACCCUGGGGAUAACAGGCUUAUCUCCCCCAAGAGUCCACAUCGACGGGGAGGUUUGGCACCUCGAUGUCGGCUCAUCACAUCCUGGGGCUGUAGUAGGUCCCAAGGGUUGGGCUGUUCGCCCAUUAAAGUGGUACGCGAGCUGGGUUCAGAACGUCGUGAGACAGUUCGGUCCCUAUCCGUCGCAGGCGUAGGAAAUUUGAGAAGACCUGUCCUUAGUACGAGAGGACCGGGAUGGACGUACCUCUGGUGUACCAGUUGUUCUGCCAAGGGCAUGGCUGGGUAGCUAUGUACGGAAUGGAUAAGCGCUGAAAGCAUCUAAGCGCGAAGCCAACUUCAAGAUAAGAUUUCCCACCGCAAGGGUAAGACCCCAGAAAGACUAUCUGGUUGAUAGGUCGAAGGUGUAAGUGCAGCAAUGUAUUUAGCUUAUCGAUACUAAUAGGUCGAGGACUUGACCAA